UACGAAGGGGGCUAGCGUUGUUCGGAAUUACUGGGCGUAAAGGGCGCGCAGGCGGCCCUUCAAGUCAGAUGUGAAAGCCCCGGGCUCAACCCGGGAACGGCAUUUGAGACUGAAGGGCUUGAGUUCGGGAGAGGAGAGUGGAAUUCCCAGUGUAGGGGUGAAAUUCGUAGAUAUUGGGAAGAACACCGGUGGCGAAGGCGGCUCUCUGGACCGACACUGACGCUGAGGCGCGAAAGCGUGGGGAGCAAACAGG
RNAcentral lists this ribosomal RNA (253 nucleotides) under uncultured bacterium. RNAcentral's name for it is "partial 16S ribosomal RNA". It matches the Rfam family "Bacterial small subunit ribosomal RNA", at positions 524 to 776 of the family's 1533-position model. The record is from RNAcentral.